Molecule: long non-coding RNA, 1382 nt
Filed under: Elaeis guineensis (African oil palm)
Lineage: Eukaryota; Viridiplantae; Streptophyta; Magnoliopsida; Arecales; Arecaceae
Description: long non-coding RNA (EGUI_LNC009054)
Source: RNAcentral
GCUAAGCUGUGUAGCUCAAUUCAUCUAUUAUACAAAUGUCUUCCGAUUACCUGGUGUGGGAUAUAGGGGACCUUUUCCAUGAAGGAGGACAUCAUGUUUUGAAGUUGUUGGGCCCAGUAAUUUUUGAAUCAGCAUCGGAGAAAUAGUCGUUUGCAUCUUGUUUGUAUUUUUGAAUUAUGGCUUUAUGUGAAUUAAGAUAUAUUCACAAUUUUGUAAUAGAAUUCUAUUUAAGGUCCAUGGUUUUAAAUGUAGCUUUGCUUAUGUUUCAUCCAAUUAUAUGGUUUCUUUAAGAAUGGUGCAAUAUUAUUGUUACUUUUGAUAGAUUAGAUUGUCCCACAAUGGGUAAAUCUCGGGGUAUAACAAGCAAACAUGUGGUGCAGUUGGGUUCAAGAAGUGAGGUGGGGAAAUGGUGGAGGUGCAGUGGUCAUCUAGGAUGAGGUGAAACCUCUCUUGAAAGGAAGAUUUCCCCAUGGACUACCAAAGGAUCUCGAUUGUCAAGUUCUAUUGGCUUCCUCAGAAGGGAGUAAUGAACAAAUGGAGAAAUUCUUUAAAUUGUCAUCAUGAACCAGAGUUAUGAAGUUGAAGAAGUGUUAGAACAAAGUAUAAAGCAGGGCUUAGGACUAUGCUUCAAGAUUCAGGAUGAUAUAUCUAAUUUCAGUACUCAGAAGAUAGAGGAGGCAACUUGCAGAUCAAAGAGAAGCUGAGGACAAAAGUUUAAAAUUUGCUGAUCUAUUCUAUGGUUCUUUGUGGCACCAGUUAAAUUGAUAGGACAGCGGACUAAAUCUUUAAAAGACAGGUCUUAGACAAACAUGUUGGCAUGUUUAAAUGUGGAGAGAUGGUACACACUGGCAGUGAUUAUUCUACUUUCUUUCUAGGGGAAUGCAAGGACAAUGAAAGUGAGGAAGAACAAAAUAACAUUAUACUUGAAGAAGGAGAUGGCAUAGGUGACACUGACACCGAAGGUGAAGCUCUUUUUAUUCAAAGCUCUAAUAAUGGCCAGCAGGUGGACCUUAGCCCCUCUUUUGCUCAUCAGAGAGAGAGAGCAAUUAUGGAUGCAGUUCUACCUCUUAUACAGAGCUCUAAGCUUGUUGUCAUGGGAUUCACUACAACAUAAAAGUUGACGAGAGUUCCUUUAAGUUAGGCUGGAACAACUUUGUUCGGUGGGGAACUGUGGUGAGAUUAUAGUAUAAACAUGUCAGCUGUUGGAUUCUUUGUUGGUGAUAUCCCUGACCAGUGAGUUGGGUUUGAGGUUUAUAAAUUAAUAUUUGAAUUUUCAUCUGAAACUUUAAAUCCAAAACAAAAAGGUUUUAGUUUCAGGUAAGACUAGUUUAAAUCACAGGUUGGUUUCAGAGUUUCAGUCCAGUUUAUAAACAUCUAACGAC